This 73-nucleotide transfer RNA is filed under the name Microbacterium sp. H6. Its description in RNAcentral is "tRNA-Gly". It matches the Rfam family "tRNA". From Rfam's summary of the family: Transfer RNA (tRNA) molecules are approximately 80 nucleotides in length. Their secondary structure includes four short double-helical elements and three loops (D, anti-codon, and T loops). The record is from RNAcentral. RNAcentral also lists the same sequence under 2 other names. Lineage: Bacteria; Bacillati; Actinomycetota; Actinomycetes; Micrococcales; Microbacteriaceae.
GAGCCUGUGGUGCAUUUGGGAACUUCUGCUUCCCAAGCAGACAGCGCGGGUUCGAUUCCCGUCAGCCCCUCCA